This 1934-nucleotide long non-coding RNA is filed under the name Homo sapiens (human). RNAcentral describes it as "HSALNT0042091". The record is from RNAcentral. Lineage: Eukaryota; Metazoa; Chordata; Mammalia; Primates; Hominidae.
CAGACAAUAACAAUGAUUUCCGUUUCAACAUCACAUUUAUAUGCAAUACCCAUAUUUAUUAUGCAACAUCAUAAGAGCUUUUCUAUUAAGAUCUUGGUAUUCAGCAACAAACUCUUUCUUGACUUAGUUCUAAGCCAAAUAUGACCCCUGAUCUUGCUUGGAUGGGAGAUUUGUAAAGUAUUAUGAAAAACACACUUAGUUUUUCAGCCCUAUAACAUUAGCAUACAUAUGAAUGUGUUCAGUAACCAUAAACAUCCAAUAUACAUAAGGUGGUAUUCAUACGUUUUCUGGUUGCAACAAUUACCCUUCAUUUUGUAUGAAGAGAAUAAAGGGAAGGAAACCAAGAUGAACCACGCCUGUAAUAGGGACUAGACGUGGAGUUCCCACUUAAUGCUCCCAAUAGCCCCAUGAGUAAGUAUUAUCUCUGUUUUACUGAAGUGCAGAUAAGUUGGUUAACUAGCUAGGUCAAAGCUCACACUCAUUUCCAAAUUAAUCCUUAAAGCUUCCUGACUGGGAGGAGCUGAUUAAUUAACAUUAAUUUAUUCAUCAUGCACUUUUCUAAAGCUCUUGAAAAGCCUAUUGAUCCACACUGGACUUAUCAAAGGAAAUGCACAAAAAUUUCCAAAGGGAAAUUUGCCCUCUAUUGCUGGUCAAAACAGCUUCACUGAAGAAGAGACAUACCAAAAUCUAGAAACUGAUUUUCUUUAAAAGUCUGACAAGAAAGAAAAAUCUGACAAGAAAAUUCGACUAGCCUAAAGUACAAAUGCACAGCCUCGCAGAGGGUGGUUUACAUGAGAGUUGAGAUGUUACUGGCUCGCAAAAUGAGGGUGUGCAGAAGGAGGGUUCAGAGACAGCCCAGCUUUGUCUUAGACAAAAUUAAUGUUCCCAGUCUGAACAAUGUGAACAUGGGCACAUCUUGUUUCUGCCCCUUUGAUAGGCAGCAGAUGUCACAACCAGUCAUAAAUGCAGGUCCACAGAAGUUUUCAAGAAAGGAACCUUGGGUUUGUAUCCAAGUUCUGAGCUGCUGCUGCCUCCAACACUGAGGUCCACUGAAAUAUUCCUGUCAGUAGACUUCGAGCAGGCAGUUAUUAUAAAAACGCAGUGAAAUCUGGGGCAAGGGGUGGGGGGGGGGAAUCUCUUGCAUUUUAUUUAAAUCUCUUGCACUUUAUUUAAGCCCACACAAGUACUCAUUUAGUUCUUGUUUAUUUUGCUCUUUAAUUCCUGGAAUUAUUCAGUCAGUGGUGUUUUUGGAAGUCUGUGUUCUCCAGAGUCUCCCCAUCCACAUAUUUUUGACAUGCUUGUAUGGAAAUUUUUUAAAAAUAAAGACCACGGUCAAUAGAAUUGUGCAUUUUCCUCACGAGUCGUUUUGUAAAUGAAUGAUCACGUGUGUGAUUUUUCAGAUGUCACUUGCACAACAGCAGACUAGAACUUUAAAACUCCUUGAUUUCAGUGAAAUCCAAGCUUUGCCUAUUCCCGUUCCUCUUCCAUCCAGGGGUUAUUUGGCUGAACUGUUUUCCUGUUUAAACAACUUGAACACCAACCAACUAGACAAACAGCGCUGCUUGCAAAAGAGGGCCUACUUCCUCCGGCCCCCACCCCCAUCCCAGCAACCCCACUCCGGCCGCGCACCAGCAGGGGAAAUCGCCACCAACGUCCCCGCUUCUCAUUUCAGCCCGAAAUUGCCCUGAAACGGCGCCCGUCGUGCGACUCCAAGUCCCUCAGUUCUCCGGCCAACUGGCCUAAUUUGGGGGUUCCCUCCCCGCGGAGUGGGGUCUGCGGUGAGGAUGUGGACUCCGAGGAAGACAGAGCCCUCCCUUAUUCUCGGCCACCUCCCCUCCCCGAGGGCAGGCGGGUGAGAGGUGACCCGGAGCCAGGACCCACGGGGGACGGGCGUGCAGGGAAGGGCGGGAUGGCCGGCCGGGUGUUGCGUCUGC